ACGCCAUUAAAAUGUGCCUCUGCUGUUUCUCAAUAGAGGUGAAAAGCAUUGUAGCUUCCUGGAAUAGGACAAAAUGGCCGAAACAGGCGACGUGUAGAUCAAAGUACGGUAUAGAUCUGUUCCUGCUCUUGCAGUGGUUUUUGGAACUGGAAUGCAAACGUUUCUGCAGCUUGCAUCAUAAUGAGUUACAUCAGCACAUAAAGCGAUUUAAAAAAAGAGCAGAUUGAAACAGGAUCGGCUGUUAACCUUCCCAGGAUUUUAAAUUUAUGGUUAAAUAGAUAUUUGGAUAUUAGUGAUAUCCUCAUUUAAACCUUAACAUCAGUCUGUUUAACCCUGAAGCAAACUAGCUCUGCCUAACGCAGUCCAGGCUCUGCAACGAUUCAUCCAGCCCGCAACACUGUGGGAGCUUAGACAGCUUUGUCUGUACUUGUACCUCUCUGUGCAUUUUUCCAGGACUAUGAUCUUUGUCUGCAAUUAAUCACUGUUCAGGAUGGCUGUUCCCGACGGUAGAAUCCACGAACUGCUCCAGCUGGGAGAGGUCCUGGAGCGUGCGCUGGCGCCGCGUCCCUGCAAACCAGGGCCAGAAGCUGCUGGGGCAGAGUUGUGUGGGUCCUCAGCACUUCUGGAGAUUGUUUUUAUCUGUAGCACAGCCCUGUGCUCUCAGCCACGAGCAAGCCUGCGCAUCCCUCCUGAACUCACCGUGUCUGACUGUUCCCAUGGUAAAACCAGCCACAGCUACCAACACCAUCACAACCUGUGGAUCUCGCUGGAAAUGAGGCAUUUCGGAUCCCUCUCUCUCCAGCAGACCUCCAGAUUCGCUUCUCAGCGUAGAGAACUUCGCUUGAGAAUUCACACUUCAGCGAGGAACAGAAACCUGAAACUGCCCCUAAGCACCUACUGUAUCAGGCUGAGACGUUACCACGUUGAUUUACACACUCUUCUCAUGUGUAAAGUGGAGGGUUUUUCCCCCACAACUGCAAAGCCAAGAGUUCAAUUUCUAAUGAAAAGUGAGAUGUGAAAUAUGGCACGUUGGCCAUGCAUCCAUCAGGUAGGUAUAUUUGGCCCACAUAGUCAGCACCCCUGAUUUAAAGCAUACCAGAGAAAAUAACCCAAGAAACAGUAUGUGUUCCCUGUAAAUAACUGCUCUCUAGGUAGUAGUCAGUGUGUGUUUUAUGAACAAAAUCUGUCCAAACUACAUCAAAGCGACUGAAUAUUUGCUGCCUGAUUUUGCUGGGUUGUAUGUCUAAUUUGGCUAACACCUCCUGUUGCAGCCCCUCGUCCUGUUUUCCUUCAUAACCCUCUGAACUUUAUGGCAGCAUUUGGACAGAUUUUUUGUAGAGUUUAUUGAAAAAUGUUUGCACUGAUUUAGUGUAUGGGCUACUUGAGCCAAGUGAAACAGGAACUAUAUUCCU
This 1412-nucleotide long non-coding RNA is filed under the name Columba livia (rock pigeon). RNAcentral's name for it is "partial uncharacterized LOC106145660". Lineage: Eukaryota; Metazoa; Chordata; Aves; Columbiformes; Columbidae. The record is from RNAcentral.